AACUUUAAGCUGUGGAUCACUCAGCUUGUGCAUCAAUGAAGAAUGCAGCUAUCUGCGAAAACUAAUGUGAAUUGCAGGACACAUUGAUCAUUGACACUUUGAACACACUUUGCAGCCCCAGGUUACUUCCAGGCUACUCCUGUCUGAGGGUCA
Molecule: ribosomal RNA, 153 nt
Organism: Protopterus annectens (West African lungfish)
Lineage: Eukaryota; Metazoa; Chordata; Ceratodontiformes; Protopteridae
Product: 5.8S ribosomal RNA
Exons: 1
Source: RefSeq, a predicted model, not a curated record